UGGAUUCAAACUUGGGUGGCCUAGAACCAUCUGAAGGGGUCUGUCAGCCUAGAGCCUUGAUGACUUGUUGGAUUGGAGUCCAUAUGUCCCUAGGAAUGCAUAACACGUUGUUCAAUAUUUCUGUGCAUUUGAAAAGAGUGCUUUGAGAGUAUCCAAGAGCCACAAGGCAUGUAAUUACAGGUUAAUAAAUACCUCAAUAUUCU
Molecule: long non-coding RNA, 203 nt
Filed under: Bos taurus (domestic cattle)
Lineage: Eukaryota; Metazoa; Chordata; Mammalia; Artiodactyla; Bovidae
Description: long non-coding RNA NONBTAT026358
Source: RNAcentral